GAAUGGCUCAGUGAGGCGUUCGGACUGGCCCAGGGAGGUCGGCAACGACCACCCAGGGCCGGAAAGUUCGUCAAACUUGGUCAUUUAGAGGAAGUAAAAGUCGUAACAAGGUCUCCGUAGGUGAACCUGCGGAGGGAUCAUU
This 142-nucleotide ribosomal RNA is filed under the name Readeriella mirabilis. Its description in RNAcentral is "partial 18S ribosomal RNA". It matches the Rfam family "Eukaryotic small subunit ribosomal RNA", at positions 1691 to 1830 of the family's 1831-position model. The record is from RNAcentral. Lineage: Eukaryota; Fungi; Ascomycota; Dothideomycetes; Mycosphaerellales; Mycosphaerellaceae. RNAcentral also lists the same sequence under 1 other name.